GAGGGCUUAGUUUAAUUAAAAUGGUUGAUUUG
This 32-nucleotide transfer RNA is filed under the name Callosciurus caniceps concolor. Its description in RNAcentral is "partial tRNA-Ala". The record is from RNAcentral. Lineage: Eukaryota; Metazoa; Chordata; Mammalia; Rodentia; Sciuridae.